Non-coding RNA from Arachis ipaensis, 391 nucleotides. Lineage: Eukaryota; Viridiplantae; Streptophyta; Magnoliopsida; Fabales; Fabaceae. The record is from RefSeq and is a predicted model, not a curated record.
UAUACCCCCUUCUUCUCGUGGAGUUGCAUAUCUUCACACACACACAAAAAACAAAAAAAAACGGAGAUUAAGAAUUAUUCACAUUUUUUCUAACCAAAAAAUGACAAAGUCAAAUCUUUUAUUAAUUGUCCUUUUGGUUUCAGCUAUGUCAACAACUAUUCAAGUGAGCAAAGCCAUGACGUGUCGUGAAUUGUGGCUUGAACAAUCAGAUCUGUGCAAAGAACAGUGUCAACAGAACUGCACCAAGAAGUAUGGCUCCGCAUCUUCUUCAGUGUGUAGUUUUCCUUAUUGCGUAUGCAGCUACGAAUGUCAUCAUUAUUAAUUAAGAAUUUUAUUUUAAUGUAAUAAUGAUAUAACAUAUUUAGUAAAGUUAAAGUUCAAUUGCCAAUGA